GGAUGCAAUCAUACCAGCACUAAAGCACCGGAUCCCAUCAGAACUCCGAAGGGAAGUCCUUGUGUUGCAUUCC
Triticum aestivum (bread wheat) is the source of this 73-nucleotide non-coding RNA. The record is from Rfam. Lineage: Eukaryota; Viridiplantae; Streptophyta; Magnoliopsida; Poales; Poaceae.